This 72-nucleotide transfer RNA is filed under the name Protonibea diacanthus. RNAcentral's name for it is "tRNA-His". It matches the Rfam family "tRNA". Rfam says of the family: Transfer RNA (tRNA) molecules are approximately 80 nucleotides in length. Their secondary structure includes four short double-helical elements and three loops (D, anti-codon, and T loops). Lineage: Eukaryota; Metazoa; Chordata; Actinopteri; Sciaenidae. The record is from RNAcentral.
GUAGGCAUAGUUUUAAAAUAAAAAUAUUAGAUUGUGAUUCUAAAGACAGGGGUUGAAACCCCCUUGCUCACC